GCACAACCCCCCCCAACCCCCCAAAUGCACCAUGAUCUGUGCCCGGUGCCCCAGGUACUCUCACUCACUCACUGGGGCAGCACUACCCCCCCCAAAUGCACCAUGAUCUGUGCCCGGUGCCCCAGGUACUCUCACUCACUCACUGGGGCAGCACUACCCCCCCCAAAUGCACCAUGAUCUGUGCCCGGUGCCCCAGGUACUCUCACUCACUCACUGGGGCAGCACUACCCCCCCCAAAUGCACCAUGAUCUGUGCCCGGUGCCCCAGGUACUCUCACUCACUCACUGGGGCAGCACUACCCCCCCCAAAUGCACCAUGAUCUGUGCCCGGUGCCCCAGGUACUCUCACUCACUCACUGGGGCAGCACUACCCCCCCCAAAUGCACCAUGAUCUGUGCCCGGUGCCCCAGGUACUCUCACUCACUCACUGGGGCAGCACUACCCCCCCCCCAAAUGCACCAUGAUCUGUGCCCGGUGCCCCAGGUACUCUCACUCACUCACUGGGGCAGCACUACCCCCCCCAAAUGCAUCAUGAUCUGUGCCCGGUGCCC
Long non-coding RNA from Xenopus tropicalis (tropical clawed frog), 550 nucleotides. RefSeq lists it as uncharacterized. Lineage: Eukaryota; Metazoa; Chordata; Amphibia; Anura; Pipidae. The transcript is spliced from 2 exons. The record is from RefSeq and is a predicted model, not a curated record.